This 318-nucleotide ribosomal RNA is filed under the name Triticum aestivum (bread wheat). RNAcentral describes it as "partial small subunit ribosomal RNA". Lineage: Eukaryota; Viridiplantae; Streptophyta; Magnoliopsida; Poales; Poaceae. The record is from RNAcentral.
AUGUUUUGUUACUGUCAAAGCUUGUAUGCAAUUAGCAAAAUGUUAUACGUUUGUACUACUAUUGUGUUACUAAAGGAGAAAAAUAAGUACUAUCAUAUUGCAUUUUCUUUGAAGGGGAGCCUUGGCGCAGUGGUAAAGCUGCUGCCUUGUGACCAUGGGGUCACGGGUUCAAGUCCUGGAAACAGCCUCUUGCAGAAAUGUAGGGAAAGGCUGCGUACAAUAGACCCAAAAUGGUCGGACCCUUCCCCAGACCCUGCGCAAGCGGGAGCUACAUGCACUGGGGCUGCCCUUUUUAUAUUGCAUUUUCUUUCCUUUUGA